This 521-nucleotide ribosomal RNA is filed under the name uncultured marine bacterium. RNAcentral describes it as "bacterial SSU rRNA". It matches the Rfam family "Bacterial small subunit ribosomal RNA", at positions 355 to 896 of the family's 1533-position model. The record is from RNAcentral.
UGGGGAAUCUUGCACAAUGGAGGAAACUCUGAUGCAGCGAUGCCGCGUGAGUGAAGAAGGCCCUUGGGUUGUAAAGCCCUUUCGUCGGGGAAGAAAAUUACUGUACCCGAAUAAGAAGGUCCGGCUAACUUCGUGCCAGCAGCCGCGGUAAUACGAAGGGACCUAGCGUAGUUCGGAAUUACUGGGCUUAAAGAGUUCGUAGGUGGUUGAAAAAGUUGGUGGUGAAAUCCCAGAGCUUAACUCUGGAACUGCCAUCAAAACUUUUCAGCUAGAGUAUGAUAGAGGAAAGCAGAAUUUCUAGUGUAGAGGUGAAAUUCGUAGAUAUUAAAAAGAAUACCAAUUGCGAAGGCAGCUUUCUGGAUCAUUACUGACACUGAGGAACGAAAGCAUGGGUAGCGAAGAGGAUUAGAUACCCUCGUAGUCCAUGCCGUAAACGAUGUGUGUUAGACGUUGGAAAUUUAUUUUCAGUGUCGCAGCGAAAGCGAUAAACACACCGCCUGGGGAGUACGACCGCAAGGUUA